RNAcentral lists this ribosomal RNA (433 nucleotides) under uncultured bacterium. RNAcentral's name for it is "partial 16S ribosomal RNA". It matches the Rfam family "Bacterial small subunit ribosomal RNA", at positions 29 to 507 of the family's 1533-position model. The record is from RNAcentral.
AACGAACGCUGGCGGCAUGCCUAACACAUGCAAGUCGAACGAGACCUUCGGGUCUAGUGGCGCACGGGUGCGUAACGCGUGGGAACCUGCCCUUAGGUUCGGAAUAACUCCCCGAAAGGGGUGCUAAUACCGGAUAAUGUCUUCGGACCAAAGAUUUAUCGCCUUUGGAUGGGCCCGCGUUGGAUUAGCUAGUUGGUGGGGUAAAAGCCUACCAAGGCGACGAUCCAUAGCUGGUCUGAGAGGAUGAUCAGCCACACUGGGACUAAGACACGGCCCAGACUCCUACGGGAGGCAGCAGUGGGGAAUAUUGGACAAUGGGCGAAAGCCUGAUCCAGCAAUGCCGCGUGAGUGAUGAAGGCCUUAGGGUUGUAAAGCUCUUUUACCCGGGAUGAUAAUGACAGUACCGGGAGAAUAAGCUCCGGCUAACUCCGUG